CCUACGGGUGGCUGCAGUGGGGAAUAUUGCACAAUGGGCGCAAGCCUGAUGCAGCGACGCCGCGUGAGCGAUGAAGGCCUUCGGGUCGUAAAGCUCUGUCCUAAGGGAAGAAUAAUGACGGUACCUUAGGAGGAAGCCCCGGCUAACUACGUGCCAGCAGCCGCGGUAAUACGUAGGGGGCGAGCGUUAUCCGGAAUCACUGGGCGUAAAGGGUGCGUAGGCGGCCCUGCAAGUCAGGAGUCAAAUCCGCAGGCUCAACCGAGGUCAGCUCUUGAAACUGUGGCGCUUGAGUGCAGGUGAGGAGGGCGUAAUUCCUGGUGUAGCGGUGAAAUGCGUAGAUAUUAGGCGGAACACCAGUGGCGAGUGCGGCUCUCUGGACUGCAACUGACGCUGAGGCACGAAAGCGUGGGGAGCGAACAGGAUGAGAUACCCUGGUAGUC
RNAcentral lists this ribosomal RNA (440 nucleotides) under uncultured bacterium. Its description in RNAcentral is "bacterial SSU rRNA". It matches the Rfam family "Bacterial small subunit ribosomal RNA", at positions 338 to 795 of the family's 1533-position model. The record is from RNAcentral.